RNAcentral lists this ribosomal RNA (510 nucleotides) under uncultured bacterium. RNAcentral's name for it is "partial 16S ribosomal RNA". It matches the Rfam family "Bacterial small subunit ribosomal RNA", at positions 28 to 507 of the family's 1533-position model. The record is from RNAcentral.
GACGAACGCUGGCGGCGUGCUUAACACAUGCAAGUCGAACGAAGAGCGAUGGAUGCUUGCUUCUAUCAAUCUUAGUGGCGAACGGGUGAGUAACGCGUAAUCAACCUGCCCUUCAGAGGGGGACAACAGUUGGAAACGACUGCUAAUACCGCAUACGAUCUAACCUGGGCAUCGAGGAAAGCUGAAAGGUGGCCACUACAUGUAAGCUAUCACUGAAGUAGGGGGGUGCGUCGGAUUAGCUAGUUGGAGGGGUAACGGGCCACCAAGGCGAUGAUAAGUAGCCGGUCUGAGAGGGUGAACGGCCACAAUGGGACUGAGACACGGCCCAGACUCCUACGGGAGGCAGCAGUGGGGAAUCUUCCGCAAUGGACGAAAGUCUGACGGCGCAACGCCGCGUGAGUGAUGACGGCCUUCGGGUUGGAAAGCUCUGUUAAUCGGGACGAAAGGCCUUCUUGCGAAUAGUGAGAAGGAUUGACGGUACCGGAAGAGAAAGCCACGGCUAACUACGUG